GAUAUUGAUGCAUUAAACAAUGUAAUCGUUAGGAAGUUCAAAUGCUGUCAUUGAAAUUAUUCAUUUUUAAAGAGCUAUUCAAUUACAAUGGAGUAUGUAGGUUAGUAGGUGCGAUGAUGGGUAUUUAUUUACCUUUUCAUCAAAAACAAAAAAAUUUACUAAGUUACCAUAUGACAAAACAGUUGCAAACCGCAAUUAAUGUAGUCCUUUUCU
Schizosaccharomyces pombe (fission yeast) is the source of this 213-nucleotide non-coding RNA. The record is from the annotation of a GenBank genome assembly. NCBI's taxonomy places the organism in Eukaryota, Fungi, Ascomycota, Schizosaccharomycetes, Schizosaccharomycetales, Schizosaccharomycetaceae.